RNAcentral lists this ribosomal RNA (253 nucleotides) under uncultured bacterium. Its description in RNAcentral is "partial 16S ribosomal RNA". It matches the Rfam family "Bacterial small subunit ribosomal RNA", at positions 524 to 776 of the family's 1533-position model. The record is from RNAcentral.
UACGAGGGGGGCUAGUGUUGUUCGGAAUCACUGGGCGUAAAGGGUGCGUAGGCGGGCGUUUAAGUUAGGUGUUUAAUCCCGGGGCCCAACCCCGGACCGGCACCUAAAACUGGACGUCUUGAAUAGUGGAGAGGUCGGUGGAAUUGGAGGUGUAGCGGUGGAAUGCGUAGAGAUCUCCAAGAACACCCGUUGCGAAGGCGGCCGACUGGACACAUAUUGACGCUGAGGCUCGAAAGCAUGGGGAGCAAACAGG